Molecule: transfer RNA, 70 nt
Filed under: Loxodonta africana (African savanna elephant)
Lineage: Eukaryota; Metazoa; Chordata; Mammalia; Proboscidea; Elephantidae
Rfam family: tRNA
About the family: Transfer RNA (tRNA) molecules are approximately 80 nucleotides in length.
Source: Rfam by way of RNAcentral
ACAUUGGUGGUUCAAUGGUAGAAUUCUCACCUACCAUGUGGAAAUCCAGGUUUGAUUCCUGGCCAAUGCA